CGACAAUCCACGCUAUACCUAACCCUACUUUGCUUUUACAGUUUGUAUACCGUCGUCGUCAGGUAACUUUUAAAAAUUUAGAAGUUAGCGAGAAAGCUGCAUGAGCUUACACGUCAGAUCAAGGUGCAGCUUAUAUUGGGGUGAGGAUGGGUUACAAUUAUAAAAUCAUAACUACGAAAUAACUAUAAUAAUAUAUAAUUAUAAGGAGGACUUGAAAGUAAAGAGGACUAUAAAAACAUUUUGAAUAAGGCUCUGAAACGUGCACACAUCGCCCGUCGCUCUCGUUGAAAAAUGAGAUAAGUCGUAACAUAGCAGGGGUAAUGGAAAUUGUCCCUAAGC
RNAcentral lists this ribosomal RNA (339 nucleotides) under Ceratostoma rorifluum. RNAcentral describes it as "12S ribosomal RNA". It matches the Rfam family "Microsporidia small subunit ribosomal RNA", at positions 830 to 1303 of the family's 1311-position model. The record is from RNAcentral. Lineage: Eukaryota; Metazoa; Mollusca; Gastropoda; Neogastropoda; Muricidae.